This 214-nucleotide long non-coding RNA is filed under the name Ananas comosus (pineapple). RNAcentral's name for it is "long non-coding RNA (ACOM_LNC043879)". The record is from RNAcentral. Lineage: Eukaryota; Viridiplantae; Streptophyta; Magnoliopsida; Poales; Bromeliaceae.
CGAACUUUAACCAAAUGGGUUAAAGUGUCGAAGGAAAACGAUGGACAAGUUCCUCUUGCCGCCCGACAAGUUUGAAAGGGCGAAAAAUGAGUUAGAGAGUGUUAAAAUGGUUUUGGCGUCAACCGGCGCGAAGUAGAGCUGAAUCGAAGUCAAAACUGCAUUCUGGACGUCUUGUACCGGUACAAGGGUGAUGGUUGUGCCGGUACAAGCAGCG